AACGUAGGACGCAAACGUUAUCCGGAAUUAUUGGGCGUAAAGAGCUCGUAGGCGGUCCAGUAAGUCGGAUGUGAAAUCUCCAGGCUCAACCUGGAGAGGCCAUCCGAUACUGCUGUGACUAGAGUCCGGUAGGGGAGUGCGGAAUUCCCGGUGUAGCGGUGAAAUGCGCAGAUAUUGGGAGGAACACCAGUGGCGAAGGCGGCACUCUGGGCCGGAACUGACGCUGAGGAGCGAAAGCGUGGGGAGCGAACAGG
Molecule: unclassified non-coding RNA, 254 nt
Filed under: uncultured Acidimicrobiia bacterium
Lineage: Bacteria; Bacillati; Actinomycetota; Acidimicrobiia
Description: contains 16S-23S intergenic spacer region
Rfam family: Bacterial small subunit ribosomal RNA
Source: RNAcentral